GACGAACGCUGGCGGCGCGCCUAACACAUGCAAGUCGAACGGAGAUAAGGAGGAGCUUGCUCCACCUUAUCUGAGUGGCGGACGGGUGAGUAACGCGUGAGUAACCUGCCUUAAAGAGGGGGAUAACGUCUGGAAACGGACGCUAAUACCGCAUGACAUACGGACAUGGCAUCAUGAUCGUAUCAAAGGAGCAAUCCGCUUUAAGAUGGACUCGCGUCUGAUUAGAUAGUUGGUGAGGUAACGGCUCACCAAGUCGACGAUCAGUAGCCGACCUGAGAGGGUGACCGGCCACAUUGGGACUGAGACACGGCCCAG
RNAcentral lists this ribosomal RNA (315 nucleotides) under uncultured bacterium. RNAcentral describes it as "bacterial SSU rRNA". It matches the Rfam family "Bacterial small subunit ribosomal RNA", at positions 28 to 334 of the family's 1533-position model. The record is from RNAcentral.